GUGGGGAAUCUUCCGCAAUGGACGAAAGUCUGACGGAGCAACGCCGCGUGAGUGAAGAAGGUUUUCGGAUCGUAAAGCUCUUUCGUUAGGGACGAACGUGCUCUUUGUGAAUAAUGAGGAGUAAUGACGGUACCUAAAUAAGAAGCCACGGCUAACUACGUGCCAGCAGCCGCGGUAAUACGUAGGUGGCAAGCGUUGUCCGGAAUUAUUGGGCGUACAGCGCGCGCAGGCGGGAUAUCAAGUCUGUCUUAAAAGUGCGAGGCUCAACCUCGUGAGGGGACAGAAACUGGUAUUCUUGAGUGUCGGAGAGGAAAGUGGAAUUCCAAGUGUAGCGGUGAAAUGCUUAGAGAUUUGGAAGAACACCAGUGGCGAAGGCGACUUUCUGGACGAUGUCUGACGCUGAGGCGCGAAAGCUAGGGGAGCGAACGGGAUUAGAUACCCCAGUAGUCC
RNAcentral lists this ribosomal RNA (450 nucleotides) under uncultured bacterium. Its description in RNAcentral is "partial 16S ribosomal RNA". It matches the Rfam family "Bacterial small subunit ribosomal RNA", at positions 354 to 796 of the family's 1533-position model. The record is from RNAcentral.